GGCCACAUCGGGAACUGCGGAUACAGUAGACCAAGUUGACGAAUGUUCAGACACUCUUCAAGCUUACAGUGACUCUAAUAUUCCACUUUUGACAAGGAUUACAGCCAAAAAUAGAUGGUUACAAACUCUGACAGUCAACACUGAAUGAAACAAGGAACAGAGUUACUUCUGAUAAGGAAGCAGGCUGCAGUCUCAAGGACUCCAAAAGAGUAAUCGAUAUUUUGGAUGAAAGGACUCAUCAAUAAUAUCACAUCAUGGACUUGAAGGAUGAAAAUCUGUGUAAGAUUCAAACACCAGAGCAAUUCAGGAGCAGAACUUUGAAGAACAACACUGCACCAGGAUUGAACUCUGGACACUUCCAGAGACAGACACUGUUGGUUAGAAUCAGUUAAAUUCCACCGUUAAUCUGGUAAUAACUAAAGUGGGUUAUGAGUCUUAACUUGCCUACUUGAGUGGUCUUAUUUUGCUAUCACUAUAAAUGCAAUAAUGUUUAAAUCAUUGUUUCAGU
Long non-coding RNA from Rhincodon typus (whale shark), 508 nucleotides. RefSeq lists it as uncharacterized. The record is from RefSeq and is a predicted model, not a curated record. The transcript is spliced from 3 exons. NCBI's taxonomy places the organism in Eukaryota, Metazoa, Chordata, Chondrichthyes, Orectolobiformes, Rhincodontidae.